Molecule: long non-coding RNA, 495 nt
Filed under: Anser brachyrhynchus (Pink-footed goose)
Lineage: Eukaryota; Metazoa; Chordata; Aves; Anseriformes; Anatidae
Description: lncRNA (ENSABRG00000004610.1)
Source: RNAcentral
GAAGCAGAAGAAUAACUACAAGUGAAGACAUGGGUGCUUCCCUCAGAUCCAGGAAGAAAACAAAAUCUGUGCUGACCUGGGCAGGAGGCAGCUGAGCUGAAAGGCACUGGGUAACAUCCAGUCCAGUCCAGCUCUCUCGAAAGAUGCAGAUGUAGAUGCUCUGACACCUUGUUGAAAUGCCAGGACAGACGGACACAAAGAAGACUUUUUCCAGGCUUGCUGCUCUGAAGAGGAUCUCUUAUCUUUCAAGGCUGGUGUUAGGUUUCAAAAUUGGAUUUAUUUCAAUACUUGAGUUUUUGAAGACCAGAUCCUCUGCUGUUCCCUUGCUACCUUUCCAAACAGGCCUUCAUUUGCAGGUAGGGACUGUCACUUACAGGUAACAGGAACAAUUUUCUAUCAAGAGCUUUAUUACAUCUAAAGAUGGAUAUUUACUAAGCAAGGUAGAGCUUCUGCGUUUUUAUAAUGCAUAUUUAAAGAGUAGUUAAGCAAGUCGUG